AGAUUGAACACUGGCGGCAGGCCUAACACAUGCAAGUCGAGCGGUAGAGAGGUGCUUGCACCUCUUGAGAGCGGCGGACGGGUGAGUAAUGCCUAGGAAUCUGCCUAGUGGUGGGGGAUAACGUUCGGAAACGGACGCUAAUACCGCAUACGUCCUACGGGAGAAAGCGGGGGACCUUCGGGCCUCGUGCCAUUAGAUGAGCCUAGGUCGGAUUAGCUAGUUGGUGAGGUAAUGGCUCACCAAGGCGACGAUCCGUAACUGGUCUGAGAGGAUGAUCAGUCACACUGGAACUGAAG
Molecule: ribosomal RNA, 296 nt
Filed under: uncultured soil bacterium
Lineage: Bacteria
Description: partial 16S ribosomal RNA
Rfam family: Bacterial small subunit ribosomal RNA
Source: RNAcentral